Molecule: microRNA precursor, 84 nt
Filed under: Bombyx mori (domestic silkworm)
Lineage: Eukaryota; Metazoa; Arthropoda; Insecta; Lepidoptera; Bombycidae
Description: mir-2807 microRNA precursor family
Rfam family: mir-2807 microRNA precursor family
Source: Rfam by way of RNAcentral
UUAACUCCAAUUUGUAUGGAGUUCGAAUAUUUGCUUGCGUUUGCCGCCAGGGGCACUGCUCUAACUGCAUACAAAUUUGAAUUA